Molecule: long non-coding RNA, 1554 nt
Organism: Mytilus californianus (California mussel)
Lineage: Eukaryota; Metazoa; Mollusca; Bivalvia; Mytilida; Mytilidae
Exons: 4
Source: RefSeq, a predicted model, not a curated record
UGUUCAUUUCAAUCAACGGACGUUCGAAAUCCAGACACAUUUCCAAAAUACCUAUCAAAUUUGUAUUGCAUCUGUUGUGAAGUAAUCAAAAUAGUCAACUGAUCAGACGGAGAUUAUUGGGCGAUUUUAAAAGAGUACCACUGCAAUAACAUAAUCAAUCAACUCUUAAAAUCCAUUCACCCCUCAACAAGACCGUUCUAAAACAGCACAGAAAUGAGUCGCUGCGAUGAUGGUGGUGUUUAUUGUGGAGACGAAGACAGUUCCGACGAUAAUGUCUGGUGUUGUUGUCCGGGUGGCAUCAAAAAGAAGAAGGUUAUCAACCAAAGUAGCAUUGAAAAUGCGUGCGCAACAACAACUGCCGAAGCAAAUCAAAAGAAAAAGAAAGAAAAGAAACCGAAGCCAGAUUAUGAAGGAGGCCUUUUUUAAUUCUGAUACCAAGUGAAAUUUUUUUUGAAAUAUUGCUUCGUUUUAUGCAGUGAAAUAUAUUUUGAAGAUAGAACACUGUAUGUUAACUUGACAAACUGAAUGCAUGCUUUUAAUCUUUUAUUAGUUAUAAGUAUUUAUGUAUUAUUGGUGGUUUCGUAGAAAAGCAUUGACAAGUGGUUAAUGGAUUGAACAUGUAGAUAUUUCCAAAUCUUCCAAUACUCAAUUCAGAUUCCAAAUAAAAAGAAGGUGUACUGUCGAAGGAUAAAAUGAGAAUAAAACGUAAAAAACAUCAUCCUGUGACGUAGUUAUUUGGUCCAUAAGAUCAUUAUAAUUAAACCAACAACGUAUUCUUUUGAUACUUAUACUCGUUAUCAUGAGCUAAAAUAGUUAGUGCCAAUUUCCUUUUAAUUUAUUUCCCACCAACGUAAUUUUUAUUAUAUCAUUCAAUAUUUCCUUAAAUUUAAAUAAUGUGUAUUCUGAGUUGCUAACAAAUUUAUGACGUACCUCUCGACUUGAUACUCUUUAUUUCUAAAGUUAGAUACAACCUGAUAGAUUUUAAAAUUUCCAAACAUUGAAUUUGAAGGACAUUCAUAACCUACGAAACAAAAAGAAAUAACACAAAUAAGAGCUUUGUGGUAGUCUUUCAGAAACGAAAUUAAAUCAUUUUGGCUAACUCUGUCGUUCGAUGCAAACUUUUUUACAAAAGAAUGUAAAAUUUGCUUUAAUAUAUAAGAAUUGUCUUCAACUUUGAUUUUUUUUAGAUAAAUAACAUAUUGAAGUACUGCAUAUAGUACAUUUCACUGAAAAUCCUUUGGAUAUAUUAUCUAGUCUCCUUGAAAUUCAAACUCCAGUAGUUUUUAACACCUUUUAAAUUUUGACAAUUGAAGAGAAACAAAUAAAAAGGAAGAAGGUCUUACCAUUUUAAUGAAUAGACGGCAGAGUUUCUUUUUGGGAUAUUAUAGAACUGGUAUAUGUUUUAUUCAGUUUAUUCACCUCUGUACUACCCGAUGUUUUGUAGAAGGAAAGACAACUCUCAUUUCCUUACGUAUCAUAAUUCGCUUCUAACGUUUGAUGUAGAUUAUAAUGUUUCUUGUGUGUAUUUCUCUAAUAAAGAUUCUACCAGCCCGA